CGCUGGCGGCGUGCCUAAUACAUGCAAGUCGAGCGAAUGACGAGGAGCUUGCUCCUCUGAUUAGCGGCGGACGGGUGAGUAACACGUGGGCAACCUGCCCUGUAGACUGGGAUAACUUCGGGAAACCGGAGCUAAUACCGGAUAAUCCAUUUCACCUCAUGGUGAAAUGUUAAAAGGCGCAUCUCGCGUCACUACAGGAUGGGCCCGCGGUGCAUUAGCUAGUUGGUGGGGUAACGGCCUACCAAGGCAACGAUGCAUAGCCGACCUGAGAGGGUGAUCGGCCACAUUGGGACUGAGACACGGCCCAAACUCCUACGGGAGGCAGCAGUAGGGAAUCUUCCACAAUGGACGAAAGUCUGAUGGAGCAACGCCGCCGUGAGUGAUGAAGGUUUUCGGAUCGUAAAACUCUGUUGUAAGGGAAGAACAAGUACGUUAGGAAAUGAACGUACCUUGACGGUACCUUAUUAGAAAGCCACGGUUAACUACGUGCCAGCAGCUGC
This 500-nucleotide ribosomal RNA is filed under the name uncultured bacterium. Its description in RNAcentral is "bacterial SSU rRNA". It matches the Rfam family "Bacterial small subunit ribosomal RNA", at positions 34 to 518 of the family's 1533-position model. The record is from RNAcentral.